UUCGUAGGCGGGAUAUUAAGUCAGUGGUGAAAUCCUACAGCUUAACUGUAGAACCGCCAUUGAUACUGAUAUUCUUGAAUUCACCUGAAGUAGGCGGAACAUGACAUGUAGCGGUGAAAUGCUUAGAUAUGUCAUAGAACACCGAUUGCGAAGGCAGCUUACUAAAGUGAUAUUGACGCUAAGGAACGAAAGCGUGGGGAGCGAACAGGAUUAGAUACCCUGGUAGUCC
This 229-nucleotide ribosomal RNA is filed under the name uncultured bacterium. RNAcentral describes it as "partial 16S ribosomal RNA". It matches the Rfam family "Bacterial small subunit ribosomal RNA", at positions 568 to 796 of the family's 1533-position model. The record is from RNAcentral.